CCGUGCUAGGCGGGGAGCUAGCGGUGCCCUGUACCCGCAAGCCGCUCCAGCGGGGCUGAAUCCCCGCCCGCGGCCCGGGGGGCCCGAGGCUGCUCCCGGCACGGGGCGAUGAUGGCCGGGUCCUGCGCGACGCCGACCCGCGAACCCCGUCAGGUCCGGAAGGAAGCAGCGGUAAGCGGACCCCGGCGGGUGCCGCAGGGGCGCCUGGCCGGAGCCACCGGCCGGCGACGCGCGCGGGUCCUGCGAGGUCAACGGCGGGUGCACGG
Molecule: signal recognition particle RNA, 266 nt
Filed under: Actinomycetota bacterium
Lineage: Bacteria; Bacillati; Actinomycetota
Description: Actinobacteria bacterium (sediment metagenome) signal recognition particle sRNA large type
Rfam family: Bacterial large signal recognition particle RNA
About the family: The signal recognition particle (SRP) is a universally conserved ribonucleoprotein involved in the co-translational targeting of proteins to membranes. Archaeal SRP consists of a 7S RNA and homologues of the eukaryotic SRP19 and SRP54 proteins. In most bacteria, the SRP consists of a 4.5S RNA and the Ffh protein (a homologue of the eukaryotic SRP54 protein).
Source: RNAcentral